UACGUAGGGUGCAAGCGUUAAUCGGAAUUACUGGGCGUAAAGCGCACGUAGGCGGCUUCUUAAGUCGGUGGUGAAAUCCUGGAGCUCAACUCCAGAACUGCCUUCGAUACUGGGAGCUCGAGUCCGGGAGAGGUGAGUGGAACUGCGAGUGUAGAGGUGAAAUUCGUAGAUAUUCGACAAGAACACCAGUGGCGAAGGCGGCUCACUGGCCCGGUACUGACGCUGAGGUGCGAAAGCGUGGGGAGCAAACAGG
RNAcentral lists this ribosomal RNA (253 nucleotides) under uncultured bacterium. RNAcentral describes it as "partial 16S ribosomal RNA". It matches the Rfam family "Bacterial small subunit ribosomal RNA", at positions 524 to 776 of the family's 1533-position model. The record is from RNAcentral.